UUUAAGUGCAACCAUGAGUUUCCAUGCCCAAUUUUGAUCGUCUGUCUUAUUUGAAAUUUUUUUAUAAUUAGUAUUUUUUGUUGUUAUGAGAUGAUAAAACAUGAAUAGUACUUUAUGCGUGUCUUAUAUUUUUUAAAUUUUCUCAAUUUUUUUUAAAUAAGACGGAUGAUUAAAAUUGAGCACGGAAAAACAUGGAUGCACUUAAA
Oryza nivara is the source of this 206-nucleotide non-coding RNA. The record is from Rfam. NCBI's taxonomy places the organism in Eukaryota, Viridiplantae, Streptophyta, Magnoliopsida, Poales, Poaceae.